CCCAAGACAGGCCCCGUGUGUAAGCCUCCUCACUUAUUACACCUGCCACCCACCAAACUGGGGUGGCCCGCUUCUCUUGCCUCUCCCUGCCCUCCUUAUUGGGGGGGAAGCAGUUCCAGAUUUCACUUGGGAGUUCCCGAGGAUGCGACCUGACAAUUGAUGAACCAGCCGGGACACUGAUGACAUGGGUCUUGGGAAAGAGAUGUCUUCCAGGGAAAUCUGGAGUUGGCCGUGCCCUGCGUGUGGGAACACGGGGGCCUGGAGAGAGAGAGGCAGAGACACAGGCAGAGGGAGCUCCAAGCAGGGAGCCCGAUGUGGGAUUCGAACCCGGGACCUCAGGAUCGCACCCUGAGCCGAAGGCAGACACGGAGCCACCCGGACGUCCCACGUCCCAGGCUUUAGUCCGUUUAAGUGAUCAACUGGAAGGCAGCUCUCCCAUCUCCCCAGGUUCUUCUCGUCCACAAGCGGAGGCCACGGGACCACCGAAAGCAUUUUUCUGGGAUCCUAGGGAUUGCACGAUCCAGGAGAAACGGAGCAGAUCAAGAUCAGAAGUGUGCUCCGAAUCACCGGACAGGCGCACGGGCUUGCCAAGGCUAAGGCCACAAGGGCGUGGACAUCUGGAACCGUCCUCCUCACCAGCCUGCUCGCUGUCCAGGAGAGCAGCGGGCCCAUAGGACCAUCCCUCGGCGUUCGCAGAGCAAAGGAACGAGGCAGCCCUGAUGCGCGAGUUGUGGCCCGAGAAAUGCCGGGAACGCGUCUUCCCCCCUGGUCUGGGAAGUUAGGGCCACGGGCAAGGAGGCCAGGACGGAGCGGGUGAGCCGAUGGCUGGAGGUUGGCGGAGCACACGCGGGCGCCUCUUACUGCAGCCACAUGGGGGGAGGCAGAGGGUCUCUCGAAUGCUUACUGCUUUGCCAUUUGUCAUUUGCUCUGGCAAUAAGGGAGGGAAAAUGCGCCACCGCACAGGUCACUGUGGGGCUGACCAUUUUUCCUAAUCUGCAAACCUCAGCUGUAAUCACACUGGUGGACUGUAGAACCCUCUUCCUAACUCUUGUUUCCCCGUCAUAAACCUUCACCCAAGGACGCCUGGGUGGCUCAGGGGUUGAGCAUCUGCCUUUGGCCCGGGGCGUGAUCCUAGGGUCUCGGGAUCGAGUCCCGUAUCGGGCUCCCUGCGUGGAGUUGGCUUCUCCCUCUG
Molecule: long non-coding RNA, 1192 nt
Organism: Canis lupus familiaris (dog)
Lineage: Eukaryota; Metazoa; Chordata; Mammalia; Carnivora; Canidae
Exons: 3
Source: RefSeq, a predicted model, not a curated record